This 492-nucleotide ribosomal RNA is filed under the name uncultured bacterium. Its description in RNAcentral is "partial 16S ribosomal RNA". It matches the Rfam family "Bacterial small subunit ribosomal RNA", at positions 29 to 507 of the family's 1533-position model. The record is from RNAcentral.
AGUGAACGCUGGCGGUAGGCCUAACACAUGCAAGUCGAACGGCAGCACAGUAAGAGCUUGCUCUUACGGGUGGCGAGUGGCGGACGGGUGAGGAAUACAUCGGAAUCUACUUUUUCGUGGGGGAUAACGUAGGGAAACUUACGCUAAUACCGCAUACGACCUACGGGUGAAAGCAGGGGAUCUUCGGACCUUGCGCGAUUGAAUGAGCCGAUGUCGGAUUAGCUAGUUGGUGGGGUAAAGGCCCACCAAGGCGACGAUCCGUAGCUGGUCUGAGAGGAUGGAUCGGCCACACUGAAAUGGGGACACGGUCCAGACUCCAAGGGGGGGCGGCGGGGGGAAAAUUGGGACAUGGGCGCAAGCCUGAUCCAGCCAUACCGCGUGGGUGAAGAAGGCCUUCGGGUUGUAAAGCCCUUUUGUUGGGAAAGAAAAGCAGCAGGUUAAUACCCCGCUGUUCUGACGGUACCCAAAGAAUAAGCACCGGCUAACUUCGUG